UACGUAGGGUGCAAGCGUUGUCCGGAAUUAUUGGGCGUAAAGAGCUCGUAGGCGGUUCGUCACGUCGGCUGUGAAAUCCCGAGGCUCAACCUCGGGCCUGCAGUGGGUACGGGCAGACUGGAGUGCGGUAGGGGAGAAUGGAAUUCCUGGUGUAGCGGUGGAAUGCGCAGAUAUCAGGAGGAACACCGGUGGCGAAGGCGGGUCUCUGGGCCGAUACUGACGCUGAGGAGCGAAAGCGUGGGGAGCGAACAGG
Molecule: ribosomal RNA, 253 nt
Filed under: uncultured bacterium
Lineage: Bacteria
Description: partial 16S ribosomal RNA
Rfam family: Bacterial small subunit ribosomal RNA
Source: RNAcentral